Dioscorea cayenensis subsp. rotundata (Guinea yam) is the source of this 2276-nucleotide RNA transcript. RefSeq lists it as uncharacterized. Lineage: Eukaryota; Viridiplantae; Streptophyta; Magnoliopsida; Dioscoreales; Dioscoreaceae. The transcript has 6 exons. The record is from RefSeq and is a predicted model, not a curated record.
GAAGCGAAGAGGAGACCAUGGCUUCAGCUCCAAUUCGAAACCCUAGGAAAUGGCGGUACACUUGGGAAACCCUAGCCCACAUCCCCGUACUCCGCCUCUAUCUCUUCGAUUCUCAUACCGAUCCUUCAGUUCGAUGUCGGAGCCUCGAAUCCUUUGUCCGGUUCGAGGAAUCCCUCCUCCUUGUCUCUUGGAUUGAAGACGAUGGUGAUGUUCUUCUUAGGGUUCCGUUUCCCAAGGUUUUGAUCGAUCAUAGCUGCCCCAUUGAGUCCAUUGCCAAGCACGACCAUAUCCAAAUCAAGCUCUCGCUCGUACUCCCAGUCGAUCACCCACUCAAUGCUGAUAUCAGUGGCGAUGCUCCAGAUAAGCUCCUCCCGCUAAACUUGUGUUCUGAUAUCGAGAAUAUUUCUUCCGGAAACUUGGAUUUGUUCUGCAAGAAUUGCUCUACAAAGUUAACAAGGCAGCCUGUCAGCCGCUUUGUGGAAAUGCCAUCAGUUAAUUGGCAAGAAGCAGCUGAUAAUUGGUUUGGGGGAUGCUGCUGUUCAUUCGGUGGCAUAAGUGAGAAAUUAGUCUCCGAAUAUACCAAUGCCUAUAGUUGUGUAGAGGGCACUUGUCUGGUAGAUGUUGCUUCAUUAAUUAUUUGCAAGGAUGAUCUAGAGGGGUAUACGUUUCAGCAAGUAUCAGAUGGAUUUUCAGAAUGUAGUUCCAAAAGUCAUCUUGUCACUAGUGAUGGUUUCACUGAAUUUGUGAAAGAAGUCGGUGGUGAAAAUUCUCAGGAAGAUACAUGUGAGUACAGUGAAGUUGGAGCAGAGAGUGCUUCACAUUUGGUUAAUGGGCCAUCUGAAUGUAAAGAUGACCAUUCACCUUGUGCUCUUUUAUCUUCAGCUGAUCAUGGUGUUGAAAGUCAGGAAGCUUUGUGUGUUUCUGUGGAAAUCACUAAUGUGGACCAGAAUCAGUCAAGUGAUUAUCAAGGUGCCAGCAGCAUGGAAUUUAUGAAUCUUGACUUGAGCUCAUGCACUGGGAAUAUAGAAAAGCCUUAUCCUUAUUCAUCAGCUGAUGCCUUCCCCUCGGCAGGUGAGUGCCAUUGUUUUGUUGAUAAAACACAGGAUAUGCCAAAUAAAAAUUCAAUGGUGUUGUGCUCCAAAAAGAACUCGAUGCCCAUGGAAGGCCAGGCCUGUCUGCGUAAUGGUUCUCUUGGGGGUGGUUUUCUGAUUAAAACUUCUGGCCUCUCCGCUGAUGUCGAGUGGGUUGAGUUUUCUUGCAAGGAAUGUUCAUCUCCUGUGGGUUCAUUCCCUUCCUUAAAGGACACAAAGGUUCCAGUUGAUGGUGGAAUUCGACUAUUCAAGUGCUAUGUUUCUACCGCUGUUCCUACUUGCGGACAUAAUGAUAUAUUCAGGAAACACACAAUUCAAAGAGUCUUUGCGAACUUGCUGCAUGAAACUGCUGCUGAUGAGCUUACAUUCCGUACAGUGGUGAAAGACUUAAGGACAAAAUGCCCAAUGUUGCAAAUUCUGCUAUUAAAUUCGAAAGCUUGGUCUGCCACUGGCUAUUGCUUUGAGAAUUCUACCAUGGAGCCACUUCCUGAAACAGAUAUGCAGCCUGUUGUGAAGGUGCUGUUCUCAGACUUAAAUGCCACGGCAGGAGCCAAUUCAGGAGAGAUAAAGGAUUGGUCAACUAGAAACGAUGCAGAGGAGCUACAUAUGUUGACACACCAGAUAAAGGAACUGACUGAGAGCCUGAACUCAGCACAGCGUCGAUUUCCAUCUUCAUGUUCUUAUUUGCAAGGAAUGUCUUUAUCAUACAUGGAGAGGUAGACAGAUAUACUGUAGCAUCCUGAAGCAAUCUUGUAUUUUGAAGUCACUAGACCAGACCUCAAACGGCAGCAAGCAUGAAAAGUGUCAGAAAAUCAGAAAUCGCUUAUUAAAUAGUACAAUUUGCUCAAGAGGUAACAACACUUGAAUGGAGCAUUUUACCAGAGCAAAGAUCUACCUCUUGCUUCAGUUGCAGAAUUGUCCAUGCUGACUAUUUGAUGAUACCAUGUUGCUCUUAAGACCCUUUGAUAGUAUUGUGUUGUUUAUGUUAGCAUGAUUUAACUCAUUUUUUAUAGUUUGAUUUUAGUAAAAGAAAUCAUGCAGUUGUGCAAGAGCCUGCGAGCUGAACACCCAUGUGUUGCUUAGUUGUAAAGUGCCUGUUUCUUCUUCAUCUUGUGUUAACAAAUUUAGUUUCAUUAACAAUUAACUUCGCUGGAUCCAACACUUUUUUUUAAUAAAUAAAUAAAU